Molecule: ribosomal RNA, 501 nt
Filed under: uncultured bacterium
Lineage: Bacteria
Description: partial 16S ribosomal RNA
Rfam family: Bacterial small subunit ribosomal RNA
Source: RNAcentral
GACGAACGCUGGCGGCGUGCUUAACACAUGCAAGUCGAACGGUGAAGGGGUCUGCUUUUGUGGGCCCUGGAUGGGUGGCGAACGGGUGAGUAACACGUGAGUAACCUGCCCCCUUCUUCUGGAUAACCGCAUGAAAGAGUGGCUAAUACGGGAUAUUCUGGGUCUGUCGCAUGAUGGGUCUGGGAAAGAUUGCGCCUUUGGGUGUUUUUGGUGGGGGAUGGGCUCGCGGCCUAUCAGCUUGUUGGUGGGGUGAUGGCCUACCAAGGCGGUGACGGGUAGCCGGACUGAGAGGGUGGACGGUCACACUGGGACUGAGACACGGCCCAGACUCCUACGGGAGGCAGCAGUGGGGAAUAUUGCACAAUGGUCGCAAGCCUGAUGCAGCGACGCCGCGUGAGGGAUGGAGGCCUUCGGGUUGUAAACCUCUUUCGCCAGUGAAGCAGGCCUGCUCCUUGUGGGUGGGUUGACGGUAGCUGGAUAAGAAGCGCCGGCUAACUACGU